GCCUGGAUGGCUCAGUCGGUUAAGCGUCCGACUUCAGCUCAGAUCAUGGUCUUAUGGUCGUGGGAUCAAGCCCCGCAUCAGGCU
Molecule: transfer RNA, 84 nt
Filed under: Felis catus (domestic cat)
Lineage: Eukaryota; Metazoa; Chordata; Mammalia; Carnivora; Felidae
Also listed under: 1 other name
Rfam family: tRNA
About the family: Transfer RNA (tRNA) molecules are approximately 80 nucleotides in length. Their secondary structure includes four short double-helical elements and three loops (D, anti-codon, and T loops). Further hydrogen bonds mediate the characteristic L-shaped molecular structure. tRNAs have two regions of fundamental functional importance: the anti-codon, which is responsible for specific mRNA codon recognition, and the 3' end, to which the tRNAs corresponding amino acid is attached (by aminoacyl-tRNA synthetases). tRNAs cope with the degeneracy of the genetic code in two manners: having more than one tRNA (with a specific anti-codon) for a particular amino acid; and 'wobble' base-pairing, i.e. permitting non-standard base-pairing at the 3rd anti-codon position.
Source: Rfam by way of RNAcentral